ACCCUGCAAUCAAAUAGAUUGUCCCAAGGGCGCCAUAUUCUAGGAGCCCAAGUUAUGCUAUUGAAAAUUCAUUCCUCUAGCAGUUCCGGUUUGAGCAUUCCGUUCCCUUUUUCAAACUCCACUUCUUUUCAUAUAGCAUCCCUGAUCAAAGAGAGAACAAUAUCCAUUUCAAAACAUUUCUAACAGAUUCCUUAGUUCGGACCGACCAUCCAGAGUACAAUCAAGGUCCAACUACGGAACCAAAAUAAAGGAAGACAACCCCAAAUGUAG
RNAcentral lists this ribosomal RNA (270 nucleotides) under Triticum aestivum (bread wheat). RNAcentral describes it as "partial small subunit ribosomal RNA". Lineage: Eukaryota; Viridiplantae; Streptophyta; Magnoliopsida; Poales; Poaceae. The record is from RNAcentral.